UUUACCUGUGUGACUGCGUACCUUUUGUAUAAUGGGUCAGCGACUUAUAUUCUGUAGCAAGGUUAACCGUAUAGGGGAGCCGGAGGGAAACCGAGUCUUAACCGGGCGUUAAGUUGCAGGGUAUAGACCCGAAACCCGGUGAUCUAGCCAUGGGCAGGUUGAAGGUUGGGUAACACUAACUGGAGGACCGAACCGACUAAUGUUGAAAAAUUAGCGGAUGACCUGUGGCUGGGGGUGAAAGGCCAAUCAAACCGGGAGAUAGCUGGUUCUCCCCGAAAGCUAUUUAGGUAGCGCCUCGUGAAUUCAUCUCCGGGGGUAGAGCACUGUUUCGGCUAGGGGGCCAUCCCGGCUUACCAACCCGAUGCAAACUGCGAAUACCGGAGAAUGUUAUCACGGGAGACACACGGCGGGUGCUAACGUCCGUCGUGAAGAGGGAAACAACCCAGACCGCCAGCUAAGGUCCCAAAGUCAUGGUUAAGUGGGAAACGAUGUGGGAAGGCCCAGACAGCCAGGAUGUUGGCUUAGAAGCAGCCAUCAUUUAAAGAAAGCGUAAUAGCUCACUGGUCGAGUCGGCCUGCGCGGAAGAUGUAACGGGGCUAAACCAUGCACCGAAGCUGCGGCAGCGACACUCAGGUGUUGUUGGGUAGGGGAGCGUUCUGUAAGCCUGUGAAGGUGUGUCGUGAGGCAUGCUGGAGGUAUCAGAAGUGCGAAUGCUGACAU
RNAcentral lists this ribosomal RNA (720 nucleotides) under Salmonella enterica subsp. enterica serovar Bareilly. Its description in RNAcentral is "partial 23S ribosomal RNA". It matches the Rfam family "Bacterial large subunit ribosomal RNA", at positions 584 to 1303 of the family's 2925-position model. The record is from RNAcentral. Lineage: Bacteria; Pseudomonadati; Pseudomonadota; Gammaproteobacteria; Enterobacterales; Enterobacteriaceae.